CUCGGAGUUUGAUCCUGGCUCAGGAUGAACGCUAGCGGCAGGCCUAACACAUGCAAGUCGAGGGGUAUAGUUCUUCGGAGCUAGAGACCGGCGCACGGGUGCGUAACGCGUAUGCAAUCUACCUUUUACAGGGGAAUAGCCCAGAGAAAUUUGGAUUAAUGCCCCAUAGUAUAUAUCAUUCGCAUGGUUUAAUUAUUAAAGUUCCAACGGUACAAGAUGAGCAUGCGUCCCAUUAGUUAGUUGGUAAGGUAACGGCUUACCAAGACAAUGAUGGGUAGGGGUCCUGAGAGGGAGAUCCCCCACACUGGUACUGAGACACGGACCAGACUCCUACGGGAGCAGCAGUGAGGAAUAUUGGUCAAUGGGCGCAAGCCUGAACCAGCCCAUGCCCGCGUGCAGGAAGACGGUCCUAU
Molecule: ribosomal RNA, 413 nt
Filed under: uncultured Flavobacteriaceae bacterium
Lineage: Bacteria; Pseudomonadati; Bacteroidota; Flavobacteriia; Flavobacteriales; Flavobacteriaceae
Description: bacterial SSU rRNA
Rfam family: Bacterial small subunit ribosomal RNA
Source: RNAcentral